Small nucleolar RNA from Mesocricetus auratus (golden hamster), 68 nucleotides. NCBI's taxonomy places the organism in Eukaryota, Metazoa, Chordata, Mammalia, Rodentia, Cricetidae. The record is from Ensembl.
GAGCAAUGAUGAAAAGGCUUUAGUACUGAACUUUGUCUAUGAAGGUUUCUACACUUGACCUGAGCUCA